UGGGGAAUAUUGGACAAUGGGCGCAAGCCUGAUCCAGCCAUGCCGCGUGAGUGAUGAAGGCCUUAGGGUUGUAAAGCUCUUUUGUCCGGGACGAUAAUGACGGUACCGGAAGAAUAAGCCCCGGCUAACUUCGUGCCAGCAGCCGCGGUAAUACGAAGGGGGCUAGCGUUGCUCGGAAUCACUGGGCGUAAAGGGCGCGUAGGCGGCCAUUCAAGUCGGGGGUGAAAGCCUGUGGCUCAACCACAGAAUUGCCUUCGAUACUGUUUGGCUUGAGUAUGGUAGAGGUCAGUGGAACUGCGAGUGUAGAGGUGAAAUUCGUAGAUAUUCGCAAGAACACCAGUGGCGAAGGCGGCUGACUGGACCAUUACUGACGCUGAGGCGCGAAAGCGUGGGGAGCAAACAGG
RNAcentral lists this ribosomal RNA (404 nucleotides) under Bacillota bacterium. RNAcentral's name for it is "Firmicutes bacterium partial 16S ribosomal RNA". It matches the Rfam family "Bacterial small subunit ribosomal RNA", at positions 355 to 776 of the family's 1533-position model. Lineage: Bacteria; Bacillati; Bacillota. The record is from RNAcentral.